RNAcentral lists this ribosomal RNA (497 nucleotides) under uncultured bacterium. RNAcentral's name for it is "partial 16S ribosomal RNA". It matches the Rfam family "Bacterial small subunit ribosomal RNA", at positions 28 to 507 of the family's 1533-position model. The record is from RNAcentral.
GAUGAACGCUGGCGGCGUGCCUAAUACAUGCAAGUCGAGCGAACGGACGAGAAGCUUGCUUCUCUGAUGUUAACGGCGGACGGGUGAGUAACACGUGGAUAACCUACCUAUAAGACUGGGAUAACUUCGGGAAACCGGAGCUAAUACCGGAUAAUAUUUUGAACCGCAUGGUUCAAAAGUAAAAGACGGUCUUGCUGUCACUUAUAGAUGGAUCCGCGCUGCAUUAGCUAGUUGGUAAGGUAACGGCUUACCAAGGCAACGAUGCAUAGCCGACCUGAGAGGGGGAUCGGCCACACUGGAACUGAGACACGGUCCAGACUCCUACGGGAGGCAGCAGUAGGGAAUCGUCCGCAAUGGGCGAAAGCCUGACGGAGCAACGCCACGUGAGUGAUGAAGGUCUUCGGAUCGUAAAACUCUGUUAUUAGGGAAGAACAGAUGUGUAAGUAACUGUGCACAUCUUGACGGUACCUAAUCAGAAAGCCACGGCUAACUACGUG